RNAcentral lists this ribosomal RNA (324 nucleotides) under uncultured eukaryote. RNAcentral's name for it is "partial 18S ribosomal RNA". It matches the Rfam family "Eukaryotic small subunit ribosomal RNA", at positions 1470 to 1796 of the family's 1831-position model. The record is from RNAcentral.
CCCUUAGAUGUUCUGGGCCGCACGCGCGCUACACUGAUGCAACCAGCAAGUCUCCUGGGCCGACAGGUCUGGGCAAUCUUCUGAAACUGCAUCGUGCUGGGGCUUGACGAUUGCAAUUGUUCGUCACCAACGAGGAAUUCCUAGUAAGCGCAAGUCAUCAGCUUGCAUUGAUUACGUCCCUGCCCUUUGUACACACCGCCCGUCGCUUCUACCGAUUGAGCGUUACAGUGAAUGAUCAGGAUCCGCGAGCUCGUCGGGCGACCGCACUUGUUCCUGGAGAAUCUUUGUGAACUGCACCGCUUAGAGGAAGAAGAAGUCGUAACA